Molecule: long non-coding RNA, 928 nt
Filed under: Helianthus annuus (common sunflower)
Lineage: Eukaryota; Viridiplantae; Streptophyta; Magnoliopsida; Asterales; Asteraceae
Source: RNAcentral
AUGCUCAUAACUGGCCGGCUAACCCUAAUUAGGGUCGGCUACCCUAAAGCCUACGAGCCCAACAAUCUCCCACUCAGAGGCUUUGCAUAGUCCACAAAGUGCAUCCAAGAAACCCAUCACCAGUAACUUCAGUAAUCUUUACGUUCAAGUCUUCCCAGCCUCCAGUUCCAAGAAUAAGCUAAGACUUCAGUCACAUCCAAGCCACCUAGUUGCAACCACACCUCUCAUCAAGUAACUGAGAGACCAGUUGAAGCUCCCACAAGCUCCAACCCAACAGUCUUAUCAGACCCAUUCUCUAUCUCAACCGGCUUGCACAAUCCACCAGCUCCAGAGAUACACCGAGAAUUAAUACCACUCUCCACAUUUUGCAAACUAUUUCCAGGAGAGCUUUUUUCUUCAGUCGGAAUCUUCGUCUUCAAAACCCAAUGGUUCUUUGUGAUUGUACCCGGAACACGACCCAUGCUCCCACUAUCACCAAAUCCCCUGACUGGCUUAAACUUAGACCCCCGACCACAUUCAACUGACAUCCCCAAAGCACCAGGAUUCAAGUUCGCAAAUUGAACCCUCUUCCGCUUACUAGAUUCAGUGAACCAGACUUUAUGUUGUACAGGGACGGCUACUCCCUCAACAGGUAUCUCAACUAGAUACAACGAUCCUCGUCUCCUCCCACAGGCAACAACAAGAUUUCCAUCAAUCACCUUCCACUUCCCACCACCAAACUUAACAUCUAGUCCCUGUUUAUCCAGUUGACUAACAGAAAUAAGUUUCUUCGUUAAACCUGGAAUUACCCUGACGUUCUUUAAGUUCCAUGUAGUGCCCAGUGGAGUCUUCAGAUUGACGUCUCCCAUACCCGUAACAUUAAGAACAUGACCGUUAGCUAAUCGUACCUUUCCAAAGUCUCCUUUUUUCAGAUUCACCAUCGUCUCCC